UACGUAGGGUGCGAGCGUUGUCCGGAAUUAUUGGGCGUAAAGAGCUUGUAGGCGGUUUGUCGCGUCUGCUGUGAAAACCCGAGGCUCAACCUCGGGCCUGCAGUCGAUACGGGCAAACUAGAGUGCGGUAGGGGAGACUGGAAUUCCUGGUGUAGCGGUGAAAUGCGCAGAUAUCAGGAGGAACACCGGCGGCGAAGGCGGGUCUCUGGGCCGUAACUGACGCUGAGGAGCGAAGGCGUGGGGAGCGAACAGG
RNAcentral lists this ribosomal RNA (253 nucleotides) under uncultured bacterium. RNAcentral describes it as "partial 16S ribosomal RNA". It matches the Rfam family "Bacterial small subunit ribosomal RNA", at positions 524 to 776 of the family's 1533-position model. The record is from RNAcentral.